Molecule: ribosomal RNA, 434 nt
Filed under: uncultured bacterium
Lineage: Bacteria
Description: bacterial SSU rRNA
Rfam family: Bacterial small subunit ribosomal RNA
Source: RNAcentral
GGUGGCGAGUGGCGAACGGGUGAGUAAUGCAUCGGAACGUGCCCAUGUCGUGGGGGAUAACGUAGCGAAAGCUACGCUAAUACCGCAUACGCCCUGAGGGGGAAAGCGGGGGAUUCUUCGGAACCUCGCGCGAUUGGAGCGGCCGAUGUCGGAUUAGCUAGUAGGUGAGGUAAAGGCUCACCUAGGCGACGAUCCGUAGCGGGUCUGAGAGGAUGAUCCGCCACACUGGGACUGAGACACGGCCCAGACUCCUACGGGAGGCAGCAGUGGGGAAUUUUGGACAAUGGGGGCAACCCUGAUCCAGCCAUGCCGCGUGAGUGAAGAAGGCCUUCGGGUUGUAAAGCUCUUUCGGCCGGGAAGAAAUCGGCGACUCUAACAUAGUCGCUGGAUGACGGUACCGGACUAAGAAGCACCGGCUAACUACGUGCCAGCAG